RNAcentral lists this unclassified non-coding RNA (577 nucleotides) under Scleria veseyfitzgeraldii. RNAcentral describes it as "partial external transcribed spacer 1". Lineage: Eukaryota; Viridiplantae; Streptophyta; Magnoliopsida; Poales; Cyperaceae. The record is from RNAcentral.
UGAGUUGUUCCGGACUUGCUUUCGAAGCGGGCUCCCCGCAUUUCUGUGCGGUCAACUGUUUCGGUGCUCGUCUCUUGAGCGUCCCGUGCGAUGCACAUAUUUAGCUCGGGCGGUGUGAUUAUUGGGUCGGUGCCUGUGUUGCUACAUUUUACGGAACAAUGAUUGUUUCGUGACUACGGCUUGUCAUGUUACCUUCGAUUAUGAUUUUGAGAAAUUUGCGUGGGCUAAUAUUGAAACGUCGGCUUUUGUUCGGGAGCGAUUGAUGGGUCUUGACUCGUCCGCAGCGCGCAUCAUAUUAUAUGAGCCGCUCUUUUGGAUACGGUGGGCUAUGUGGGUUCUUGCGGUCCUCUUCGGUCCGCUUGCGACCUCGUAGUACACUCGUAACAGUUCCUCGUCCGGUUGGAUCUAGUGCUAUCUUUGUGUUCCUGUUUUUGCUCUCAUGCUGGAGCAAAGGCGGGGCGUGGGGAUACAGAUGUUGGCUUUCGGGGGCGGGGCUGUACGUGUGGGAGUUCUAUGAUAUAUUAGUGAUUGCCGUUGCGUUCGUGCAUAUUGGCAUUCCGUCGGGGAAGCGCUCGCA